AUAAAUAAAAAUUAGCAUCUCCAGGAUCAAAUUAACCCCAUUUAUCCUAACCUGGACUGAGUCUUAAGUAAAGAGGCUCCUAAGACAAAGGCUCAGGCCUAUAGCUAAGAAAAGGAAAAUAGUUUGUUCUCUGUAGAAAUUGAAAUUUUGGACCAGGAUUUUUCAUGUUUACAAAAGGAAGGAAGAGAUUAUCUCUUUAAAUUCUAUUCCCAGAUUUCAAUAUUUUGUUGCGGUUUCACCUCUAGAAAUACUCUGAGUAGCUGCAUGUGAAAUACCAGAGCCAGGAGCUCUUGGUACUAUGUUGGGAAAUCAAUCACGUGAUAUUAUUUUCUAAAGAAGUGUAGGCAUGACAUUCAUGCAAGGACACACACCAGGUGGCAUAACUGCAUUCUUCUGCAGGCAUUCUUGGAGAUUCACAAUGCUGGCAGGCAGUUUGAGAUUAAUUCAGUACUGCUGCAACUCCAGAGAUGCUAACAGAGCCUGAAAUAAAUAGGAAAAAUCAGGACGCAGGAGCACACUUACCCCAGCGCUGCACAGGGGUGUCCUCAGUAAACAGCCACUGCUCCUCUCGCUCUGGAUGAAUGCAGCGGGCAGCAAAAUAAGAAGCUCCAAGAGCAUUAAGCAGACACCGUGCUCAGCUUUCUUCUUCACAAGUGAGGUCACUGGAUUUCAUCUCACUGGACAGCAGCUGAAGACACUGAACUUGCCUUCAAACAUAGCUACAAACAGGCAUGUGAAUACAGUAAUCAGCUCCUUUUGAGGACAAGCUUGAGAAGAAAGAAAGGAGUGGAAAUGGUACAGAAGUCCAGCCUUGAGAAGUUCAUAUCUUGUUUAUCUUAGAAAUGAAGCUACGUUUGAAAGUAUUAUUCUUAAUACUUAAUGAAAAUUUUUAAUUCUCAAAAAAAACCCCAACCCAAAACCAAAACAAACCACCAAACAACCCUCUGGGAGUUGAUAAGUUACUGUCUUGUACUUAGUGCAAGACAAAUAUAUUUAUGCUGGGACAUUUAAGUGUUAAAGGCUACCAGAUCAGCCUGGCAGGCUGGUAUGCUCCUUAAAAACUACUGAAAGGAGGGUCAUAGAAUCAUAGAAUAGUUUGGGUUGGAAAGGACCUUAAAUAUAUAAAAAGAUAUAUAAAAAUUAUAAACAUUAUAAAGGUAUAUAAGAUAAAGAGGAUGCUGCAGCACAGCUAACACCUUUGAAUUUGACAGGGAUGUAAUACCAACCAGGCAAUGGCCAGGUUCUGAGAUGUACUGGCUGGCUUCUGUGUGCACACAGACCUAGCAGAAGAAGUGGUGGUAAAGCCUGGGAGUAAGGCUACACACCAUGAGCUUUUCUCUUUUUUAAUCUCAUUUACUUCCUCAUUGUGGUUUUCAGACUAAGAAAAAUUGUCACUGACAUCUCUGACCUCUGCAGAAUUUCCAUUUCUCUCAAGUGAGCAAAGUAGUAGGCCAAAUCUAUAAACAGAAGUCAUUAUGCAAUUUAUUAAGACUGGAAUAAGUAUCAUCAGGAACUGUUACAGGGAUAGAUCCUUAUAUAUAUAUAUAUAUAUUUAUUUCUACCACUAGAGGACUGUAAUGUGCUGUGUAUUUGAGAAAAUCCACAUUAUCUCUCAGUGAGUGGCACAACAGUACCCUGAGGUCAAAUCAUAAUGUUUUAAAAGAAGUUUCUACAUAUUGAAUUUCAACUUCCAAAGACAACUCUCUGCCAAUAGGAGAAGAAAUUCAAAUAAGCAACUAUUCCGUCAUUUAAUAAAAUCAUGAGAGAGGACACUUAGUAAUCAAAUCAGAUGCUAUUUAUGCACAUAAGCAACUUUCCUCAGCUGUCUUUAAAACUCAUAGACUGUUCCCUUGUGUAAUACUGCUGAGAUUGGGGUCUGCUGAACAGACACCAAGCCAGCUAGUUUGAAGUUAGGAAUGAAUAUAAAGUAAAGAAUAAAUAGUCACCUCUAAUACGUUUGCGCAUUAGAUUUGAAGAUACAGCACACCUGAUAUCUCCUCUGUUGUUGGUAGUCUGAAAAAAGAGUACCUCACUUAUACACGAAGGUUAUACUUAAAGCUAUUAGAGAAAUAUUUUUUCUUCUAAAAUAAUCAUGAGAUGGAUAUUUCCAAAACAAUAGUGCAGUUUACAGUGUUUGCACUAUUUUUAUUUUUUCUCACGUUGAUUUGGCCAUUUGGUCACUCUGCUUUCUCUGAUAUGACAAAGUUUUUCUCAGCUAGAAAUGGAACUUUUCUGUGGAUUUCAGAGGAACCAUGAAGAUCUCAAUCUAUAACUGAAUCUCUGUGGGUGAAAACAAAUGGAGCACUCAGACUGGUGGUUUUCUACUCCUGGCAUCCUCCAGGCUGCACUCCAGGUCUAACAGUUACUCCAUUACGAACUGAUCAUACUACAUGGGUAGACCCACUGAUGUUUCACAAUACUCAUUUCAGAGCACCUGCUUCAUCCUGAAGGUCAUAAUUCUUCGUAAGUCAAAAGCUUCACUGGAAGUGUUUGCAGGGGAAGGUUAGCGAUGGCAGCAGAAACUGACUCCUGAAAUAAGAUUCAUCUCAUCUAAGUUUACCCACCUGGAAGUUAGAUGUCUUCAGCAAACUCACAGCCAGUGGAGACAUACUCUGUUAUUAGGACGUGAGUCACCAUGCCUAUCUGUCAGAUCUACCAUAGGGCAGCAUGAAUCACCCAUUAGCCAGUGCCUAGCUUUUUUAUUAACAAAAGAAAGAGCCUAGACAAUUAACUCAGACUGUAUGCCUAAGUAUUAAGUAGACCAAAUCAGGCAAAAUGUCCCUUUCACUGCCUCCAGUCUUGCAUAAAGACAGCAGUACCGAAAAUACACAGGUCUGAAGCUCUCUGCUUAGGGCUCUGUGCAGUAAUUUCUCUCUGUGGAACAUAAUGCAAAGCAAAGUCUAGUGUAAAGAAAUGGAGAAGCUUUGAUUGGUUGGUUCUUCUCCCUUACUUCUGUGGGUGUCAAUGACUACACAAAACGUGGGAGAGUCAGACUUACCCACAGCUCCUAGGCGAGUCCUCUAGCAGCCAAUUGAAUGCAUAGUAAAAAGGUAUGAUUUUGAGAUUCCCGCAGCAAACGCUGUGCUUUUUCCCCUGCUUUGCUUUUCCCACUUGUGUGGAACAUCCACCAUCCCUCUGUGAACAGUCUGAGAGCAGAAAGGGAGUGAUAAAGAAAAGCAAGAGGAGUUUGGGAGGUGGAAGCUUCUCCCUCACCACCCAAGCCAAGGCCUGAAGGUGACUCAUCCUCCUCUGCACUAGCUCUUACACAGUUCCUGCAACGGGGGGCUUCACUCGCUGUUUUUCCCUUCCUUUCCUUUUCUCUGCCCCCCUCCCUUACAGGAGAUCCAAAAAGUUCCCCUUCAUCCUGUGAAUGACUUCCCUCAUGUUCUUUCCCCAGAAAGUGAUCAUUCUUGAUUGGUCACUGGGCUAUCCAGGUCCUGUUGUUAUGCAUUGUUCCAGGCACCGUAUGAGCCUUUAUGCAUUUAUUGCAAAACAGCGUAGUAAAGCUGACAGGCUUGAUAGAAUAUGUGUUCGAAGUCAGGUUCUCAGACCUGUGGCUCCAGAAAAAAAAGAGGACCCUCAGUACUCACUUGGUCACUUGAGGCAAUAAGUACAAAAUGCCCCUGUAAAGACUGAAAGCAGACUGACUUUAAGUGGGUGCUCUUUUGCUGAUUUUAAAACUGUGCUGCUUCCAAUUCACACCAGCAUGGGAAUGUUCGAUAACAGCCUUAUUGUGCGCUUCAGCACAGAGCAAAACCCAUCUUCCUACGCACAGAAAGGAGGUGUCUUCUAAAAUUAAACGUCAUUCUAGCUAGCAUUGUAAUAUGCUGAAUUUUCAUAUUGAAAUAUGGCAUAUUGGCACACUGAAGAGCUGAUAAACAAAUCCUUAAGGCUGAAGCUUCAAACAAGAGAAUGCAGCAGAGCAGAAUUAUACUUUAUAAUAAUAUAAUAUAUAUUAUUUCCCCUACUGUAGAUGUGGUGCAGUAACUCUAGGGCACAAAGACCAUCUCAGUUUUGUGGUACACUCUUACAGUGGUGUACUUACUUGUUUUGACAGUGCAGAAGAGAUAGAGGACUCAGUGACCCUGGGGAACUAAUCAGCUUCUAACUCCGAGAAAUUCUCUCUACAAGAAGCCAGCAUCCCUUUUCUGGGAUUGCUAAAUGAUAUGUGCACCAUUAGAGUCAUCAGGGGUUCUCCCUUUCUCAAGACUGCAUCAGUAAGUUGAUGCAAACAUUGCAAAAAAAUAUGUGGGAAGUACACAACCAUCCAUUCUCUCACCCUGAAGCAAGUCCUUCAGCCUAGCCAAGGCAAACAUUUUGUUUAGGUAAACAGCUUAGCUUUGCAUAAGAGAGACCCGCUCUCUCAGCUGAUCUAAACAGGUGUUGUUGGUCUGAUGUCAGGGGACACCACCUAUCAACAAACAGGAUGGAAAGUUUGCAGAUGAAACAUAGGUGUGCAGGAGCCAUCUAUGUCCUGGAACAUAAGCAUAGUCAGUGCUUAAACGUUGCAAGCCAGGAAAUCACCAACUGCUUCUAACCCCAGUUUAGCAAAUUAUUGGGGAAAUAAAAUAAACAGCAUAGCUACUCCAUUAAAAAUGCAAGCAUCCUCUGCUUGUACGUGAAAAGUGGCCCCAUCAAACUGUAGUUAUGAAAACCAUCAAGUCUUUGAGAAGUAUCGUGUACCUUUACCAGUGCUGAAAAUAAUGUCUCAAGCAUGGUUUGCCACAACGAAGUUUUUGUGCAAAGUAUGAUCAUUCAUCUGCCUCAUAAGAGAAAUAUGGUGGGACUGGUGGGAAAAACAUGCACACAUACAAAAACGCUCACUCUUAGUAUGUACAAACAUAGAGCAUGUUAUUUAAUAACAGGAAUCCACAUAUCCACAUAGUAAAACAUAUGUACAGUUGAAAUAACGAUGAGUUACACUUCCCCACCCCCAUUUAAAUUUGUUAACUUAUGGAUAUAAAUAAGAACAAUUUUUAAGUUGAUAGAGGUUCUUCUUCCACCAGCUUUCUGUUCAGCACACACAGUGGGAAAGGUAUAGCUAUUGAACAAAUCAGGCAUGUAAAACACAAAGAUUCACUGCACACAAACACAGCUUAUGUCUUUCAUGGAAGUGCAAGCCUGCAUGGAGCAGUGACAGUACUCCCUCCACGAUGACAAUCUCCCUGUUCCCCUCUGGGAGCAGAAUGUGUAGCAAAGAUUUAACAUCCUGCUUCCAGCAUCUGCUCCCAGACCGCAUGGCAAAGUCAGUGAGGUGAAAGGCUUGUGGGGAAAGAGGGGCAGGAUAAGGGGAGUGGAAUGAGGAAACAAGUUCCUACAGGGCUUUCAAAACUAAAUGCUAGAUUUAAAACUUGUGAGCAACCAUGGGCUCAUGUAUUUGAUUUGAGAAGGCACAUGCUGGGCAAGCAGCCUCUGCAGUGUUGUUAAAGUGCUUUGUUCCUGAGCUGCAUUUCCUUAACAUCUUGGAAUGUGUGGACCGCUCUGGCAUCUUCUUCACUUGAAAAUCACUACCCACAGUCUCAAUGAACCCAAGCCCUUUAGGAUUCUCAUUCCUUUUUCCCCUGAUAUCCAGAUUCAGAGGGGAGACAAUGACAGCAAGAAUAGAAUAGAAUAGAAUAGAAUAGAAUAGAAUAGAAUAGAAUAGAAUAGAAUAGAAUAGUUCAAUUCUGUUCAGUUCAGUUGGAAGGGACCCACAAAGAUCCUCCAGCCAAACUGCCUGACCACUUUAGGUCUGACGUCUCUUGAGGAUCCAGCCGAGCAACUUACUCUGUAUGACACUUUGCCCCUAUAGACUAAUAACCUAUUGACCCUCUCUAGAUAUCAACACAAAACCUUCUGUCUAACCACUUCAAUAGGGGCUUGCUGGCUGCCCAUCCAUUCAACUGCUUUGCAUAAAGCACAGUUAAUUCCACUUGUUGUGUGCUGUAAUUCUGAUGAACUCUGGUUCACCCUAGUACUGCUAUCUGUUUUCACCUCAGGGCUGUGUUCUUCCAAAUGAUAUCUAUUGACUUGGUAACUUAAGCCUGGUCUCCCUUCACAUGAUUAUAUCAUUCCUAGAAACUUCAGCUGACUUUGUAAUGGAAUAAGUCCUCUCUGCAGGUUCAACGGUGCUUUCUAGGAUGCUGUGAUGUUCCUCACAAACUCCCCUGCACUCCAUUUAUCACCUGGAGUAUUAUCAGGUAUCACUCUGCUUGGAUGCAGAGUGCUGCAGCACCCUGUGGAUUGUGCGUGGUCACAAGAACAGAGAAGCAAGUCCCAGUAUCAAUAAACCAUUUGCUCAUUCCUCUGUUGUUCAUGAGAAGGACAGAAAUCAUAAGCCACAGCUGUAAGCAAAAUAUCUAUGCUAUGUUCUAAUGUGAUUCCUAUCAAAACAGAACAGAAGAACUUUGUGAUCUUUGGGGUAAAACCUUAGAAGCUCAGGAAAGAGCCAUUCUCCCACAUAUAGAAAUUGAGGCACAGGAUGCCUUCCAGUUUUCAGGUGAAGAUAGCAGCUUAGAGUCUCAAAGGUAUGUUAUAUGCAAGGGUUUUCCACCCCUCAGUCUCUUGAAUGAGCUCUGCUGAGAGAGGCCAACUUGAUCUGCUGGCUGGAUCCUGCAGAAACAGAACAGGCCAAGCUGUCAAGUGAUGAGCUGUUGGUAGUCAUACUCUCAGAAUGGCUAUCAGCUGCCACUUUGACAGGAAUGCAGCAUUGUUUGGUGGCAUUCACCUCAAGGGACAGACAUUCUCUGCAUCAGGGAAAGCAAUUUCAGUUUUCAGAACUCUGUAGGUAUGUAUAUUGGGGUUUUAUGUAUUCAAGAAUUGUUCAUGUCACACUGUUGUAUUCUGACUCAGUUUAAGUAGCAUUGUAAAGGUCAUCUCUCAAUAACUGAGGCAGAUGAAGUACAUGAAGUGUUAUACCAUUUCCCUUCCUUGCUACAGGAGAGAAAGUCUGUGUGACUCUAUGCUUGUGCUUGGCUAUGUUUUUGAUCCAUGGAGAUGCCAUUAUAUUACCUGUGAUUGUUUAAGAUAUUGCCACCACUGAUGCUGCAAUCAGAGCUUAGUUUCUCUACCACAGGGGAAACAGAAGAGAACAUAUGUUGUCUCUUUGGCUGCCAUUGCUUAUAUAUUGUGUGUUAGAUUAAAAUAUCGAUCAUUCUUCACUCAAGUGGUCAAAAAAAAAGGUGGUGUGUAGAUGUGAGGCUUCUGUAAAUUGAAUACUUUUACCAGUAGCCUGAAGAGUAACCUUCUGAAACAGUGGUUCUACUCUUUUUCUGUGGCUAUGCAAUGUGAAAAUGAGUUGAAGCCACUGAAUUAGAUAGGAAUACUGGCUCUCAGGCAGUGUGCUCCUGGACACAUCAGAUUUAGUAAUGUGUAUUUAAUAGUAUGCCAUUAAGUUGAUGUCGAGUUUGCUUUACGCUCAUAAAUCACAUAUCUCAUUGCAUGACCUAAAUGGAUUGUUCCACUUUUGUUUCAAUAAUAUUUCAUAGCCAAGGCAAAGCUAUCCCUAUAUAGAACAGGCUGCCUUUCAUAUAGUUCAUGUCAAUCUCUUACAAGUAUAGCUUUGCCCAGUAUUUCUAUGUAUCAUCCAGAAGCUCCCAGGUUAAGUAAAUGUAAUCAAUUGCUAUUUAUAUUCUUCCUAGCAACAAAAGGAAGGUUUUACCUGACCAUCCUUCCUGGAACUAACACCCUAUAGAAAUGUUCAAUCUCAUUAUUUAAGGAUUAAGUUCAGCAUUAAAACCUAACUUUCAAUCAGGAAAACUUACUAUCGUUUGAGAAAACUGGAUUAAAAAAACAGAGGAUGGACUAGAGGGCUUGAUUCACUGCUACUGGUAUGGCAAGGGCCUCAGACUCUUUCAAGACUAGUACAGACAGGCACGACAGUCAAAAGGUGCCCAGGAGACUAAAGAGGCAAAGAGUACUUUCAAUGCUAGCUGUGCCCAACAGAAUUAUUCAUUCUGCCAGCUCCAAUGCACCUUCAAGUAGCACAUGAGCAUAUUCACAGUGGCACUUCUGCUAUCUGGGCAGCCCAUCUCCAUACUGAGAAAGAGACACAUCAUACAGGAAGCAAAAACUGGUGAAGUGGGAGUGAAAAUGCUAAUCGAGUACCUUUUGGCGAGUGCAGCACUUAAACAGCAAAGCUAGUUUGCUGGCAAACAGGAUAAUUUCUGCAAGCAAAUUGAAAGUUGAGCUGUUCCAACUAGAUGGAAGUCAGUUUGGGGGAUGAUCUGAAUAUUCUCCUCUUGGGCUGGCUAUGAAGGUGGGAUGAAUUCAGAUCACAAAGGAAAAGACUUGACAUGCAAGUUGCUUGGGUGUUAAGGCUGCGAAAGAACAGUGGAGAGAACCAGAUACCUAUAUUUACAGGCACAGCCUCAAGCCACAAGCUUCCAUGACUGGCUGACAUGACAUGAUAGCUAGUGAAAGCAACAGACCUCCUCUUAAACACUGAAGCUGACCCUUACUGUUUGGUUCAGUAUGCCAAGGGAAACGGACUCACAUAGCCACCUCUUUCACUUUCUCCCUUCUCUCUGGAAUCUAGGGGUUCCUAUUAAUCUGAGCAACACAUUAUGCAAGCUUUCUGCCCUUUAUUUCUUAGAGGAACUCUUUCUAAUCUAGUGAUUCUCACAUUCUCUGUGAAUACCUGUCCUCUGGCCUAACGAUAUGCUCUAUGCACAUUUCAAGAAUUGCUUAUGUGGAACAAUUUGCAGUUUAUAACGAUAGGGGAGUCACUGGUAGCAGAGUAUAAUGCAAGUGGGAGGCAUUGGCUGGAAUAAGUCCAGGACCAGAAGAGUAGACUCAGGAAAGAGCAAGCUGCAGACAGGCCCGAGAGCAGAAUCAAAGGCAAGCUGCAUGAAUGGCAGCGUUGUGCAGCUGCUUCUCAACAAGAACUGCAUGAUGGGCUCAAUGAGAUCAUGCUGAGACAUGGCAGGACAGUACUUCAAAGCAGAGGGGUUAUCUCUCUGUGCUGG
Cuculus canorus (common cuckoo) is the source of this 8945-nucleotide long non-coding RNA. RefSeq lists it as uncharacterized. NCBI's taxonomy places the organism in Eukaryota, Metazoa, Chordata, Aves, Cuculiformes, Cuculidae. The record is from RefSeq and is a predicted model, not a curated record. The transcript is spliced from 4 exons.